GUCAGAUGUAAGAAAUGAACGUAGCCCUUCUGAUUUUGGUCAGUGGUUUUUUCCACAAAACCAUGACGACUUUGUAGCCACUGCUGAAUCUUUCCUCCCAUUCCUUGAGAAUAAUCCUUAAUAUAAGUAUAUUAUUCCACAGACCUCUAGACAAGCCACAUCCAGGGAAAGAGGGAACAUACUCAGGGUUCAAGGACACAGAGUAGGAGCCAGACAGUCAAGAACAGGAGGAAAACUACUUUGGAGGCUUUCAAAGCUUCCAGCUAUUUGAAGUUUUCAAACAUUCUGCAUCUCCAGGUGCUCCAUGUCCCACCCUUCGGCAUUCCAUCCAGAAUGCCACAACUAACAAGAAACCAGAUACUCAGCAACUGUGUGACCCUGAGCAAGUUACUUACUGCUGCCUCAAUUCCUCAUAUGCAAAAUGAGCUGAAGAAGGAAAUUGCAAACCAUUCCAGUAUCAUUGCCAAGAAAACCCCCAAAUGGGAUCACAAGGAAACAGAGACAAUGAAAUGACUGUACAAGAAAUAUACAACUUUUCUAAGAAUUCUACCACCUCUUAUAAAGCUCCAAAUUCUAAGGCAUACUUUCAAAUACAAUACCAGUGAUAUUUGUAAAGUGAUUUAAAUGCUCUGGUUUACAAUGUAUUACAAUAAUGGUAAUAAGAAAGUUAACAGCUGUUCAUAAUUAUGCCAAGGAUACAAUGUGAGAUGGAAAGCUUGAUUAUGUCUGAGUACUUGUGAUCAGGGUAAAAAAUAACCCAAGGGUCAAUUCCUUAGGACCAUAUAACAAAGCCAGUUAUUGUCUUUGUUUCUCUUAAUUAUCUGCAUAAUUUCCUCAGUUUCCAGUAUUUUCCAAGACAGACACAGCAUGUACAACAGAGAAGCUAAAGUAUCUUUUUACCACAAUACAGUGAUAAGGAUGUAUCUAGUACAAUAUAAGAAUUAAGCAUGUUACUAAGUCCUAUUACUAUACUUCAUCCUGAAACUUGAUUUCAAUAAGUAAGAAAAACAUUCAGAUGCUGACCUAUCUUUAGGGAAAAUCUUCAUGUUUUUGUACAUGUUUUUCUUACUCUUUUUGUUUUUCUUGUUCUUUUUUUAUUAUUGUUUUUCUUGUUCUUGUCCUUCUUGUUGUUUUUCUCCUUUUCCUCUUUCUCUUACUCCCUCUUCUUCUCACAAUAUUAGCUCAGGAGAAUCCUGAGGGGAAAGUCUUCAAGAAAAAAAAAUUCAAGCAUUUUCUUCUUUUUAUAGGAAUGUGAAAAAAAAAAGAAUUUUUAUAUGAAGUGGCCCUUCAAUGCCUGGGAAGAACAAAAAUGACUAUAAAAAGCAUUUCUAGAUAUGUUAUAAAUGUUCCUCUCUCCCCUUGUCUCUACCUGGAGAUUGUUUUCCUUAUGAUUUUAGUUGCAUGGAUUUUCCUCAUGCAAAGGUUUUAUAUUAAAAGGUAAUUUUAUUUAAUCUUUCUAUUUUUCUUUUAUAUCUAUUUCUUGUUUAAUUAAGAAUCCAUCUCUAACCACAAAUGUAAGUUACACCAUCUGAUUCUCAUCUUUUUUGUUUUUUCUUUUUCUUUUUAUGGUCUGCUUUGUAAUUUGGGGGCAGGUAUAAAAUGUUGGGCUAAGCCAAAUUUCAGCCAGGUUGCUUUCAAAUUUUGCCAGUAGUUAUUAUCCACUGUGGAAUUUUUCCUAAUUAAUUUAGUUUUCAAGACUUAUCAAACAUUGAGUUCAUUUUUUGUUCUGAUUUCUCUCUUUCUAAAUUGUUCUGUUGUUGAUUUAAAAAAAUUAAUAAGUACCAAAUAAUUUUGAUGACUGCUUUUUUUAUUACAUGGUUUGAGUUCUGGAAGUGUUAUUCAUUUUUCUUUCCAAUGUUUUUAUUAGUUUUCUUGAUAGUCUGUAUCAUUUUUUUUCUACCAAAUAAAUUUUGUUAUUAUUUUAU
Molecule: long non-coding RNA, 1925 nt
Organism: Monodelphis domestica (gray short-tailed opossum)
Lineage: Eukaryota; Metazoa; Chordata; Mammalia; Didelphimorphia; Didelphidae
Source: Ensembl